UAAUUAAAUUAAAUACAAACCUCCUUGGACUUGUGCAGUAAAUAAGCUAAAGCAACAACUGAGAUGAUUUUAUUGAAGAGAGGCAAGGAUAAGCAACUACUACCCCAGAAAUUUGAAUUUCAUUCUUCAUCAGUGGUUUUUUUGGUUCCAGCUUUUCUAAGUUGCUUCAAAGUUCCAUUUUUCAAAUUGCUGGAGGAGACCAAUUAAAAAUAGGCAGAGAUGGUUGAUUUGCAAAUUUCACUUGAAAAGCUUUGCCAACUAGACAGCUUACUAUUAACUUAAAAUACAGAGUUUGCAGAAGAUAUGGAUUGGAUAAUUUGGAUUUGGUCUCAAACCAAUUGAUUGCAUGCACACUACAGAAUGUUUUGAAUAUGAAUCUCUCUAGCAAGGCCAAUUAGUUGCUUUGGAGACAUUGAGUUAAGCCCUUCUGCCAGAGUUUUGAAUUGUGGGCAGGUAAGUGCAGAUCUCUUUUCCAUAUGCACAGCUGCAAUUUGCAAAACUUUGGUAAAUAUUUCUUGAAUACCAAUGAUCAUGGCUAUAUUUUUGGUUAACUUUCUUCUUUUUAUUGUGAAUGUGGUCGAAGUUUGAGGUACAGAAUCCAGUGUUCCAUUUCUUGGAUAAUGUUCUUUCAACUCCAACCACAAGGGGAACCAUUCUUCCAGGAAACACGAAAAAGCGUUAUUGACAUUCUGUGGGUAUAUAUCGAAUGCAUAUGUUAACUAUACAAUCAUGGAUUUAAAAUACUUAUUAUUUGUGCUCCAUUUUGUGAAUUCAAAUCAUCUAGAUGUGAGGGAUGAAGAGCUGACAAGUUGUUAGCAGCUAGGGGAUAGAGAAAAAGAUAAAAGGAAAGGCAUUGAGAAAAAAACAUAUAUGAUGCCAAUUACAUAAGCUUAUAGUUUCUAUAACCAUGUCUUCAAAUCAUGCAUGCAUUAAGCUAAGAAGGAUUGUUCAGAUUUUUGACACAUUCCUCAGUUAGCUUGGGGUAAAUGUCUUUGGUGCAAAAGCACUUUGCCCAUUAUUCAUGUUUGCCAAUUUUAUUGACCGUAUGGUUCAUUUUUUUCUUUUUUUGUUUUAUUUUAUUUUUCAUAUUGAACUUGGCAUGCCUUCCUAUUGUUGAAAGACUUUAGGGCCAUUUAUGGGACCUCUUUUUCACAAAAGAAGUAUGUUCUAUGCCUAUUGGAUGAGACUAGAUUGUCGAGAUUCAAACGAGUUGAUACACCCUGGAUCCUUACUGCAAGUUAUUGACACAUGGGUGAUUUGUGUCGACCCUUGAUGAUAUAAAAGACUUGUUUAUAGUUAAAUAUUUCAUAGUCAAUUACUUACGUCAAAAGUGGAAUUUACCAUUUGCAUGACAAAAAAUAUUUAACUAAUUUAUAAAUUUCACGCAUGUUAAUUAAAUAUGUUUAAUAUGAUUGUUGUAUUAUGGAUAGAUUGCACCUUAAACACCGCAUGACAUUUAUGUAUUCUAUUUACGACACUUUAAUUCUAAAUCUUGCAUUAUUAUGUCUAAGCCUAGAUUCUUUAAUUUUGAUAAAAAAUUCUAUGCUAUACAUAUAAUUUUCAUUAUAUUUAAAAAUUGAAAUUGAAAAUUGCCAUUAGCACUGAAACCUCAAAAUUAUUAGUCAAAAUUAUGUGUUGAAAAUUCAAAUGUUGUUAGCGUCGUGUUACUCAAAUUUUGUUGUAGUUUUGAAUCAACUCUCUUCUUUGCUUCUUGUCUUUGCCUAGCCUUGCUGUGGGGUUGGUAGCCAUGCUGGAGGUGGGGAUAUAAGGGUUUGUUAGUUGGUAGAGGAUGUAAAGGCCUAAACUAAGGCAGUGUGCUAGUCCUAAAUAGGGUGGCAAAAUGACUCGAAACUCGAUGGGUGAUUUGUGACCCAUCCAAUUAAAACAAGUUCAGGUUUUAUAUAAGUCAAUUUGUUUAUAAACGGGUUUGACAGAGUUCGGGUCGCUUAUUUGCUUGCUAAGUGCUAUAUAAACACAUUAUCCUUGGUCCCUUACACAUAAAACCCUAAUUGCUCCACUGUCGGCUGCGGCGCUGCCUAUCCACUCUCCACAUUUCCACUCCUGCUGCCCUGCACUCCAAUGUUGUGUGUCCCUGCCCGUUUGCCGAGCAAGGCCAGCACGCAGCACGCCAAGUUGCCAUUGCCAACACCAUCGUCCAACGCCCUUGCCUAGUUAACUGUCUGCCUAGCUGAAGCUAGCCAUCUCCCUUAUGACGCUCGAACGGUGGUCAUUCAAGAGACGUAGAGGUAAGAGUCGUAGAGGUGGAUAUCUGUAGUUUUGAUGGAUCAAGCUCCACCACGACGCUCAGACGGUGGUUGUUUUCACGAUCUGUUGUAUCUCUCAUGGAUCAAGCUCCCUCACGACGCUUAUACGGUGGUUGCCUGGUCAAUGGAUAUUUGUAGUUUUGUUUGGCACUCAUUUCGUACGCAGCCCUGUCAUCCUCAUCUGCAAGCAACAAUGCAAAUGCUUGGCUUUUGAGUGAGUUUGAGCCCUCUGGUGAGUUUGGCAAGCACUUUGAUUACUCUAGAUCAAUGAUACAAGCUCCUCAAUGUGUCUUAGAGGAAGAAAUUACUGCUUAUCUUUCUAAAAUACAAAGGGGUGGUUUUGUACAACCCUUUGGUCAUUUGAUUGCUUUUGAAGAGCCCAACUUUAGAAUCAUUGGUGAUAGCAAAAAUUCGACUGAUGGGUUUGCUUGGAAUUGAAGUUAGAACCCUUUUUAUCCCAAUUCGACCAAACAAAUCUUUUGCCUAGUCGGUGGAUAUCUGUAGUAGUAUUGUUACGUUUUUGAAGCUAGAACCCUUUUUAUCCCAAUUUGGCUGAACACAUCUUUUGCCUAGUCGGUGGAUAUUUGUAGUAGUUUUGUUACGUUUUUAUGUUGUUUUUAUUUAGAUAAUAAUAAAUAAAUGGAGUGUUUUUUUUCAAA
Malania oleifera is the source of this 2923-nucleotide long non-coding RNA. RefSeq lists it as uncharacterized. Lineage: Eukaryota; Viridiplantae; Streptophyta; Magnoliopsida; Santalales; Ximeniaceae. The transcript is spliced from 2 exons. The record is from RefSeq and is a predicted model, not a curated record.